UGACUGCUAUCGGAUUGAUACUAAGCCAUGCGAGUCAUUGUAGCAAUACAAGGCAUACGGCUCAGUAACGCGUAGUCAACCUAACCUAUGGACGGGAAUAACCUCGGGAAACUGAGAAUAAUGCCCGAUAGAACAUUAUGCCUGGAAUGGUUUAUGUUCCAAAUGAUUUAUCGCCGUAGGAUGGGACUGCGGCCUAUCAGUUUGUUGGUGAGGUAAUGGCCCACCAAGACUAUUACAGGUACGGGCUCUGAGAGGAGUAGCCCGGAGAUGGGUACUGAGACACGGACCCAGGCCCUAUGGGGCGCAGCAGGCGAGAAAACUUUGCAAUGUGCGAAAGCACGACAAGGUUAAUCCGAGUGGUUUCUGCUAAAGAAACCUUUUGUCAGUCCUAGAAACACUGAUGAAUAAGGGGUGGGCAAGUUCUGGUGUCAGCCGCCGCGGUAAAACUAGCACCUCAAGUGGUCAGGAUGAUUAUUGGGCCUAAAGCAUCCGUAGCCCGCUCUGUAAAUUUUCGGUUAAAUCUGUACGCUCAACGUACAGGCUGCCGGGAAUACUGCAGAACUAGGGAGUGGGAGAAGUAGACGGUACUCGGUAAGAAGGGGUAAAAUCCUUUGAUCUAUUGAUGACCACCUGUGGCCAAGGCGGUCUAACAGAACACGU
RNAcentral lists this ribosomal RNA (660 nucleotides) under uncultured crenarchaeote AT-5_1. RNAcentral describes it as "bacterial SSU rRNA". It matches the Rfam family "Archaeal small subunit ribosomal RNA", at positions 24 to 690 of the family's 1478-position model. The record is from RNAcentral. Lineage: Archaea; Thermoproteati; Thermoproteota.